RNAcentral lists this ribosomal RNA (801 nucleotides) under Triticum aestivum (bread wheat). RNAcentral describes it as "partial small subunit ribosomal RNA". The record is from RNAcentral. Lineage: Eukaryota; Viridiplantae; Streptophyta; Magnoliopsida; Poales; Poaceae.
AUGGCAGAGACGUCGCCCCUGCACCGGGUGAUCGACGCCGCCCGCUGGGACAAAGAGCGCCUCCUCGGCCGCCUCAUAAUCCUCGUCCACGCCGCCUUCCUCGACGUCGGCUUCGUGCUCCACGCCGACAGCGUCGGCAGGUCCGGGCGGGUCCCGCGUCGGGCGGGCCGGACGGCCUCGACUCUGUCCCUCGUGUACGCCGCGCCGCGCCGGCGGGACGCUGCCGUCCCGCUGAACAUGCGCACGCACUGCACGCACAUCGUCUUCUACGUGUGGGUGCCCAGGUUCGCCCAAGACCCACGACCGGGCACGCACUGGGUGUGCUUGGACGCACGCGUCGCGGCGCCGCUCUUGUCACGCGGCCUGGACGACACCGCGCGCGCUCUGACUGACGACGGCGACUGCACGGUGGCCGCGCUAUGGAGGGAGCUCACCGAGAAGCUGUGCCGGUCUACCCUUGUCGCCGUGUGCCCAGGCAAUGCCCUCUUGUCACUCUCCGUCGACAUCAUGGUGGACAUCUUGGCGAGGCUCACCGACGGCGUGGACCUCUUUAGGGUGGCGAGCACUUGCGCCGGACUGAGCCGCCUGGUGGCCGACCAUGACAGCGAGCUCUGGAAGCACAGGUAUAAGGCCGCGUUCUGGCGGAGAUGGGACGACUCGUCCCCAAUGGUCGACGACGCGUCCGGGACGACUUGGAUGGAGCUGUGGUGCAGAGAGACACGAGAACACGCCAAGUUCGGCGCGUAUAUACGCGCGUGUCGUCGUCGAAACCUACUCCGGUAUACUAGAAAGGGUCAAUAG